AGAUAAGCCAAAUUUAUCAACUCCCUUAUAUAAUGGUUUCAACUGUUGAAAAGUGUUUUCAACGUCUAAGAAGGGGAUUGGAUGACAACCAACCAAUGAUUAAAUAAAACGUCAUCAGUUGUAACUUGUAAGGAAAGCUCUCUAGAUGGAUAGCCUAAUCUGCGAACCCGCUCUAGCUUGUGAGCUCAGAGAGAUAGGAGAGAAAAUAUCUUACGGAUGAUUGAGUCGGUCAUGGCCGUACGUCUAUUUCUGCUCCUCGACGGCAUUACUCCAGUAGUGUCCUGCACCGAGCACGGAGGAGGGAGUGAGCUGCUUCCAUUAUGCGUCUCGCCGCGCUUUUCAGCCUCAACGUCUCAACAAUACUGCAGGGUACUGUAGCUUCUUUUUGUUUCUUCAUCGAAUGACAAAUUGAUUUUGAGGUUAUUGUCUGUGGUUUUCCUUCGACGUGAAACUUGCGCUUUCUUGUUCUGAGAUUAUAGGUUUUGAAUAGCUAAUCCAUAGUGCGUUAGUACUUGGUCCUAUACUAACGAUGCAAUGUAUUUCUUAUCAAUGUGAAUGUUAACUCUAGUGCAACGUGAAUGUUUCUUGAUUAUAUAGAGCACUUUAUCAGUGAACCUUGGAAAUCUUAAAGUUCAUUUCUUUUGAAUUA
This is a long non-coding RNA of Brassica napus (rape), 649 nucleotides long. RefSeq lists it as uncharacterized. The transcript is spliced from 2 exons. The record is from RefSeq and is a predicted model, not a curated record. NCBI's taxonomy places the organism in Eukaryota, Viridiplantae, Streptophyta, Magnoliopsida, Brassicales, Brassicaceae.